AGCCUCCCUCACCGUCCAGCUGGGGAUCUCAUUGCUUCAUUUUCUGUCCUCCACCACGAUGGGGUCAGCUGCCAUCCUCGCCCUCCUCCUGGCUGUUCUCCAAGGAGUCUGCGCCGAGGUGCAGCUGGUGCAGUCUGGAGCAGAGGUGAAAAGGCCCGGGGAAUCUCUGAGGAUCUCCUGUAAGACUUCUGGAUACAGCUUUACCAGCAACUGGAUCAGCUGGGUGCGCCAGAUGCCUGGGAAAGGCCUGGAGUGGAUGGGGAUGAUUGAUCCCAGUGAUUCUGAUACCAGAUACAGCCCGUCCUUCCAAGGCCAGGUCACCAUCUCAGCCGACAAGUCCAUCAGCACCACCUACCUGCAGUGGAGCAGCCUGAAGGCCUCGGACUCCGCCACGUAUUACUGUGCGAAAGUCACAGUGAGAGAAACCAGCACUGAGCCCAUCUAA
Molecule: non-coding RNA, 445 nt
Organism: Mandrillus leucophaeus (drill)
Lineage: Eukaryota; Metazoa; Chordata; Mammalia; Primates; Cercopithecidae
Source: the annotation of a RefSeq genome assembly